Molecule: ribosomal RNA, 461 nt
Filed under: uncultured bacterium
Lineage: Bacteria
Description: partial 16S ribosomal RNA
Rfam family: Bacterial small subunit ribosomal RNA
Source: RNAcentral
CCUACGGGCGGCAGCAGUGAGGAAUAUUGGUCAAUGGACGCAAGUCUGAACCAGCCAUGCCGCGUGCAGGAAGACGGCUCUAUGAGUUGUACACUGCUUUUGUACGAGGGUAAAAGCAGAUACGCGUAUCUGUCUGAAAGUAUCGUACGAAUAAGGAUCGGCUAACUCCGUGCCAGCAGCCGCGGUAAUACGGAGGAUUCAAGCGUUAUCCGGAUUGAUUGGGUUUAAAGGGUGCGUAGGCGGUCGGAUAAGUUAGAGGUGAAAUCCUGGGGCUCAACUUCGGAAUUGCCUCUGAUACUGGUCGGCUAGAGAGUAGUUGCGGUAGGCGGAAUGUAUGGUGUAGCGGUGGAAUGCUUAGAGAUCAUACAGAACACCGAUUGCGAAGGCAGCUUACCAAGCUACUUCUGACGUUGAGGCACGCAAGCGUGGGGAGCAAACAUGAUUCGCUCCCCCUGGUAGUC